RNAcentral lists this transfer RNA (73 nucleotides) under Candidatus Krumholzibacteriia bacterium. Its description in RNAcentral is "tRNA-Lys". It matches the Rfam family "tRNA". Rfam says of the family: Transfer RNA (tRNA) molecules are approximately 80 nucleotides in length. Their secondary structure includes four short double-helical elements and three loops (D, anti-codon, and T loops). The record is from RNAcentral. Lineage: Bacteria; Candidatus Krumholzibacteriota; Candidatus Krumholzibacteriia.
GCGCCACUAGCUCAGCUGGCAGAGCAUCUGACUCUUAAUCAGGCGGUCCGGGGUUCGAAUCCCUGGUGGCGUA